RNAcentral lists this ribosomal RNA (503 nucleotides) under uncultured euryarchaeote. RNAcentral's name for it is "bacterial SSU rRNA". It matches the Rfam family "Archaeal small subunit ribosomal RNA", at positions 357 to 861 of the family's 1478-position model. The record is from RNAcentral. Lineage: Archaea; Methanobacteriati; Methanobacteriota.
GCGCGCAAGCGUGAUAGAUUGAGCCAAAGUGUUUUUCAAAUGAAAAGCUUUUAUCGAGUGUAAAAAGCUCGACGAAUAAGGACUGGGUAAGACUAGUGCCAGCCGCCGCGGUAAUACUAGCGGUCCAAGUCGCAGCCAUUUUUAUUGGGUCUAAAACAUCCGUAGCUUGUUUAAUAAGUUUCUUGUGAAAUUUUGUAUCUUAAAUAUGAAGCGUGCAAGAAAUACUGUUAAACUAGAGACUGGAAGACGUAAGAAGUACAUUCGGAGUAGCGGUUAAAUGUGUUAAUCCCGGAUGGACUCACAAUUAGCGAAGGCAUCUUACGAGUACAGUUCUGACAGUAAGGGAUGAAGGCUAGGGGCGCAAAUGGGAUUAGAUACCCCAGUAGUCCUAGCAGUAAACACUGCACACUAAACAUUAGUACCUCCUCGAGAGGUAUUAGUGCUGUAGGGAAGCCGAAGAGUGUGCUACCUGGGAAGUAUAGUCGCAAGGCCGAAACUUAAAG